Molecule: long non-coding RNA, 4439 nt
Organism: Solea solea (common sole)
Lineage: Eukaryota; Metazoa; Chordata; Actinopteri; Pleuronectiformes; Soleidae
Exons: 13
Source: RefSeq, a predicted model, not a curated record
UGAUGACGUCACCUAGAAACGUCUGGAAGCUUUUGAACGUAACACAGGAUGUCAGUGUAACCGCAGCGCGGUUUGUUUGCGGUGAAAGAUUCUUUUUUCCCGGAGAAACAUCAAAGGUCUAAUCAGCUCUGAAGCUGCAGAGGAGAUGAGGACGAGGAGGAGGAGGAGGAGGAGAGAAACAGCGAACGUUAGAGGAGGAGACAAACGUUAGAGGAGGAGACAAACGGAGGAGGAGACAAACGUUAGAGGAGGAGACAAACGAGACGAGACUCAAACCCGGAACCCAGAUAUUUAUGUCUACUGUCUGAUUCCGCUGAGUGGAGCUUAAUCAGAUCCAGAGUGAGCUCCGUCGGUAUUCAAGCUCGCCGCUGGGAAGAAAAGGGAGAUAAAGUGAGGGUUGGAAAUCCUUCACUCACAUUUACUGCUGGGGCACAAACUUACCCGAGGAGGCAGCAGUUGACCAGCAGUUGACCAGCAGUUAACCAGCAGUUGACCAGCAGCUGACCAGCAGUUGACCAGCAGUUAACCAGCAGCUGACCAGCAGCUGACCAGCAGCUCUUGUGUCCCAAACUGAUUGAUGCCUGAAGGUCACAGGUUCGGAUCCCGGUUCUGAAAGUCCUGCACAGUACAAAGUAGUUUAAACAUCUGGGUUCUGGAUCGCUCUGCAACAGACACGGGGUUUCUCGGCACUGAUGGAAACAUGACACAUUGGUGAACAUGCUAUUUGGGCAAGGACGCCCAGACCACGCUCUCCCCAGUCACUUCUGCCAGGUCCUCCAGGAGGGGAUCCCAAGUUGUUCCCCAGCCAGCUGAGAGAGAUAAUCCCUCCCUCCAGCCCUGAGGCCUCCUCCUCGGAAGGAUAUGCCCUACAGGCAUCCAAGAGGCAUCCUAACCAGAUGCCAGAACCACCUCACAAUUGCUCCUCUCGAUGUGGGGGGAGCAGCGUUUCUACUCUGAGCCCCUCCCAGAUGUCCGAGCCUAUCUCUACCCUGCGGAGGAACCUCAUUCCGGCCGUCUGUAUUCACGAUCUUGUUCUUUCAAUGAUUACCCAAAGCUCUUGAUCAUACUGAUCGACCAGUAAAUCAAGGCUCAGCUCCCUUUUCACCAGUUGAGCGUCCACAUCACUGCAGACGCUGCCCCCGUUCCACCUGUCGCUCUCCACCUCCAUCCUUCCCCCUCUUCUGAAGGAGACCUCAAGAUUUGAGCUAAUAACGUUGGCAGUUUCGGUACAAGGAGUAACAACACAGUUCUGGAAGUGAUUGGAAAUCGCCGUGAAGUCCCUGAAGUGAAAAACAUAAGAGGUUUAGCAGCUGUGUCGGUGUCAGCGCUCUCACUGGUGCUCCUCCGUUCCAUAACCUUGACACUGAACAUGACUCAGGAAAGGGAGAAACUGAAACCUCCCGUGGGUGACACUCUGGAACCACUGUUCUUCCGAGGUCCUUAUGUGGGAAGACCCUCCAGAAAAGGGAGGAAUUCCCCAACAAUUCCCAACUGGAAGUUUGUUAAAGUACCUCUGAAGAGAAAGUGUUUGUGCAGAGACAAACCAUUCACACUCAUUUGUAAUCAGUGUGUAGAAGUUAUACAAUUUUGGAGGGAUUAUUGGCUGAAUUUGAAGGUUCUUGCCGUGUAUGAACUUACCUUCACUCUAUGGCACUUCAGCAAGAACGGAACAUAGUUGACAUGGAACCAUUACCUUUCUACCACAUCUUUACAUUAACUACAUGCUCCUUUGUCUGUGUCAAUGUCCAGACUUCACCAGCAGGAGUUGUUAUUUCCUUCUUUUCCUGAGCGUUUGCUGGAGUUGAAAACACCAGCAGACUCCAGACUUUAAAGGCCCCGGCCCAGUCAGUCAGUCAGUCAGAGACCACACGGCUCCCACUUCACCGCAUACAAAGAGCACCGUGAGGCAAACACCUUGGAGAGCCACGAGGUUGUUCUCGCUAACAACUUUACUUGGCACGGCGGUGCCUCUUUUCUCUCGCAGAGGCAGGAAGUGAGAAAAGGGCACAUGAAGAGAGCGGUUAGGCUCUUUAAACGGAGGGGUAGCGCUGCCCGUAUCGCUUCCAAAAAUAAAAAUAAAGGAAUGAAAGAGGGGAGGAGAGGGGAAGAAAAAAACAGCUUUUUAAGUGUGUUUGUGUUUGAAGCAAAGGAGCAAAGGUGUGCGUUAGCGUUUGAGGCAAAAGGCAGGAGUAUGUGCUCUGUGUGUGUGUGUGUGUGUGUGUGUGUGUGUAGUCCCUCUUGCCCGAUUUAAAAAACAACCGUUGCCCAGGUAAAUGGCACGCUGUCCUCUGCACAUGCCCGGUGGCUUUCGCUUUCUCUUCACAGGGAAGAGUUCAGAGGGCCAGUUAGCACCAUUCAGAGCAGACCCUGAGGCUUCAGUCAAACACACACACACACGGAUAUCCAUGCAGUUGUUUCUUAAAGCACACAAACACAUUCACACAUGAUCAGCGGCUCUCAUAAAUUCAUGCAGCAGCGGCUCCACACACACACACACACACACACACACAGUUAGCCCAUGGCUACAGUGUUCAAACAGCCGUGAUAUUGAAAUCCAGCAGUAGGAGGAACAGUGGGUUUUUGCUGAGGUCCAAAGCAGGUUAUUGAUCAAGGUUAGUUUACUGUGAAAACUCUGUUUAUGGCCAAAGGCCAUUCACACCAGUGUGUGUGUGUGUGUGUGUGUGUGUGUGUUACAGACAUAGGCGUACAGAUGUAAGAAUGUCUGUAGGUGUGUGUUUUAUUUAUGCAACACUACAUUAACACCCAUGUGCUUCAGUUAAUCUCUAACCAGAUGAACCGUCGAGGUUUUGGUCCAGAAGAAUCGUUCCUUAGCAUCGUCAGCUCAUUAAAGCUGAGUUGGGUAACUCCCCAGCAUCUCACUCACUCAUCUUCUGCCAGUCCAUCACAGGGCCACAUAUAGAGACAGACAACCAUUAACUCUCAUUAACUCUCACAACUCUCCAAUUUACCUAAUCCCCAAAUCUGUAUGUCUUUGGACUGUGGGAGGAAACCAGAGAACCCGGAGAAAACCCAUGCACACACGGGGAGAACAUGCAAACUCCAUGCAGAAAGACCCUUGUUCAAAGACAAGAGUGCUAACCAUUACACCAACUGUGUGGCCCCCCCAGUGGGUCCCAAGUGGGUUUUGUCUGUGGUUUCCAUGGUGGACCCCUUCAGUGUUUGCCCACGUGGGCUUCCCAUGUGGAGUCCACCAUAUGGGACCUGCAUAAUUUGCCCACUUAGUACCCAGGUAGCUUGGAAAGGGUACGAAGUGGAGCCCAAAUAUAACCCUUAUGGGGCCCUGCAUGGACAUGCUGGCAGGGUUUUAAUGUGUGUUGCACUCAAAUCUCCCUGUGUUCUCAGAUUCAUCAGGAUCGUUGCACUCAUGAAGCGAGACGGCUGCAAACUGCUGUUGAAGUACAACUGGAAAUGCCAAGUUACGCCCAAGAAAAGAUUCACAAGCUGCUCACGUUGUCCUGCCUCUGUGUGAUUUGUGAGAGAUGGGACGUGACAGGAUGAGUCGGCAGCUCAGAUUGAAAAAGGCCACAGAGGAUCGCGACAAACGAGUCCGGAAAGUAAUGUGGCACCUGCUGCUCAAGUCCGGCAUCAGGAGAGGUGGAGAACUGGGGGAGCGCUGGUGGAGGUAAAGAAGCUAAAGAUGUGAAAGUAAAAGGACAGACAGAGAGAGAGAGAGAGAGAGAGAGAGAUGAGGUAUAAAGUGUCUCUCGCUCUCUUGUUUUCACUGUGAUGGAUGCACGACUGUGGAUCAUGCACCAGACCUGUCAGUGUUCCUAAUUAAAAUUUUAUACUUACAGGCUCGGAGGGAAAAAAAGAGAAAAGGAUGAAAGAAAAAAAAAGAGGUGGAACUCGGCACUCGGUAAACAAUCACUCAUGAGAGGAAGAAGAGAGAAGCCGUCACAUUUUCACAAGGUUUGUGGCCCUGGGAGGUGAAGUGGAGGAAAUCAAUCACACAGUGUGUGACACACGGAGUCCUUUACUGACUGCUGAGACUGACAUCAUGACAAAUACACGCAGGACUUGUCGCCCUCUACUGGACAGAGCAGGACAAAGACGCAGUUCUCACUUUUCUUGUUGGAGACGAGGAUAAAGAGAAUUAAGAAAAUACAAACGUCAACAAGGCGCCUACCAAACUACAAAUCUUGUGACUCAUCAAACCCCCAGAGGAGCAUCCACACUACUGGGUUUUCAUUUAAAACAGUGUUUUCAGCUGCAGCAGCUCCAAAACACCACCUCCUCUUUCUCACUGUGGACACUGAUGAGCUCCUGUGGAAGGAAACAGUGGUUGUUCCAGUAAAGAGUAGAAGUAUCUGUAGCAGUGCUGCUGAUGGUGGGUGGGGGGGCAGAAUUCUGACAUGAUGUUGCCCUCUUCUGGCAGGUGUGUGCAACUGCAGCUCACCUACAACAACUCACAGUACAUG